Molecule: long non-coding RNA, 764 nt
Organism: Vigna angularis (adzuki bean)
Lineage: Eukaryota; Viridiplantae; Streptophyta; Magnoliopsida; Fabales; Fabaceae
Exons: 4
Source: RefSeq, a predicted model, not a curated record
CUUUGGUUUCCUUUCCUUUGCAUCAUGCUUUCUAAUUCCAAUUCCAAUUUUUAGCUCUUAUCUUACCUCUCUCUUUCUCUGUUUCUGUCUCUCUUCACUCUCAAUCUUCCUCCUCAAAGCUCUCUAUAUUUAGGGAUUUUAUUUUAUUUUUGAGGGGGAGGGAGUGAGUAACACACUGUGAUUCACUGAUUUUCACUCCUAAAAUGAGCAAAGAAGGUGUCAGGCAGAUUGAGGAACAGGUUGAAGGGCAUGUUUUUGUGAAAGUCACUUCCUGUUUGUUUCCUUAUUCUGGUGAAGAAGUUGGAGGAGAUUGAUAUUAACAUCACACAGCUUUUGAAGGAUGGUGAAACAGAAUCUACAGUCCAAGCACUGUUAAUUGAAGUCCCCCCAAUCAAAUAAAUAACUGCAACACAAAAUUACUGCUAGAAGGUUUACUGUUUGCAAAUUCAGAUCGUACUGAUGCAGAAUGAAUAUAUGGUUGUAACAUGCAAUGGUGUCAGUUGUGUGUGUUGUUCAUUGCAGCUGUUAAUCUUACGUGUGAAAAUUAAGAAUGAAGGUAACGUUGGUAUGUAUGACAAUGAUUGGUGUUUCAGAAACGUGACACCGUUAAAAUUGUAGCAUAGAAUAAGAGGGAAUUUUUCUUUCCAAUUCUCUUUCAUCUUAUUUCUGCAUACUUCAUUUUUUCCUAACUCUUCUUUUUCAUUUCACUGAUCAAUCAUCCUAAAAUAGUGAAGUGUAAAUUUAUGUUUGUUCUUUUCUUUCAA